CGCGGUAAUUUGACCGUGCGAAGGUAGCAUAGUCAGUAGUCUUUUAAUUGGAGGCUUGUAUGAAAGGUUGGACGAGGGAUAAGCUGUCUCCUUUAUGUGGUUUGAAUUUAACUUUUGAGUGAAAAGGCUCGAAUUUUUUAGGGGGACGAUAAGACCCUAUAAAACUUAAUAUGAAUUUGGCUUGAUUUGUGAUUUUGGUGAAAAGUAGUUUUGUUGAGUUCAUAUUUCGUUGGGGAGAUGUAGAUAUAAUAGGUAACUGUCUGUUUAAUUUAAUAAUUGUAAUUAGUUUGUGAUCCUUCUUUGUGGAUUAAAAGAAUAAGUUACUUUAGGGAUAACAGCGUGAUUUUCCUUGAGAGUUCUUAUCGACAGGAGUAGUUGCGACCUCGAUGUUGAAUUAAAAUUUUAGCUAGGUGUAGCCGUUUAGCUGGUGGGUCUGUUCG
RNAcentral lists this ribosomal RNA (440 nucleotides) under Macrobrachium cf. lorentzi TJP-2011. RNAcentral describes it as "partial 16S ribosomal RNA". It matches the Rfam family "Bacterial large subunit ribosomal RNA", at positions 1932 to 2583 of the family's 2925-position model. Lineage: Eukaryota; Metazoa; Arthropoda; Malacostraca; Decapoda; Palaemonidae. The record is from RNAcentral.